RNAcentral lists this ribosomal RNA (497 nucleotides) under uncultured bacterium. Its description in RNAcentral is "partial 16S ribosomal RNA". It matches the Rfam family "Bacterial small subunit ribosomal RNA", at positions 28 to 507 of the family's 1533-position model. The record is from RNAcentral.
GAUGAACGCUGGCGGCGUGCCUAAUACAUGCAAGUCGAGCGAACAGACGAGGAGCUUGCUCCUCUGAUGUUAGCGGCGGACGGGUGAGUAACACGUGGAUAACCUACCUAUAAGACUGGUAUAACUUCGGGAAACCGGCGCUAAUCCCGUAUAACAUGUUGAACCGCAUGGUUCAACAGUGAAAGACGGUCUUGCUGUCACUUAUAGAUGGAUCCGCGCCGCAUUAGCUAGUUGGUAAGGUCACGGCUUACCAAGGCAACGAUGCGUAGCCGACCUGAGAGGGUGAUCGGCCACACGGGAACUGGAACACGGUCCAGACUCCUACGGGAGGCAGCAGUAGGGAAUCUUCCGCAAUGGGCGAAAGCCUGACGGAGCAACGCCGCGUGAGUGAAGAAGGUCUUCGGAUCGUAAAACUCUGUUAUGAGGGAAGAACAAAUGUGUAAGUAACUAUGCACGUCUUGACGGUACCUAAUCAGAAAGCCACGGCUAACUACGUG